GGCGCACGGGUGAGUAACGCGUAGAUAACCUGUCUUCAUGUCUGGAAUAAUAACGGCCAAAGGGGUACUAAUACCGGAUAUUCUUGCUUUUCAUAAGUUAUGCAAGCAAAGGUGGCCUCUGCAUAUGCUACUGCAUGAAGAGGGGUCUGCGUACCAUUAGCUAGUAGGUGGGGUAAUGGCCUACCUAGGCGACGAUGGUUAGCGGGUCUGAGAGGAUGAUCCGCCACACUGGCACUGGAACACGGGCCAGACUCCUACGGGAGGCAGCAGUGAGGAAUAUUGCGCAAUGGGGGAAACCCUGACGCAGCGACGCCGCGUGAGUGAGGAAAAGGCCUUCGGGUCGUAAAGCUCUGUCAAGAGGAAAGAAGUGUACAAUGGCUAAUACCUGUUGUAUUUGACGGUACCUCUAAAGGAAGCACCGGCUAACUCCGUGCCAGCAGCUGC
This 444-nucleotide ribosomal RNA is filed under the name uncultured bacterium. RNAcentral's name for it is "bacterial SSU rRNA". It matches the Rfam family "Bacterial small subunit ribosomal RNA", at positions 97 to 518 of the family's 1533-position model. The record is from RNAcentral.